CUGGGAGAGGUGAGCCAUUUCUGGGAAGGGCUGGCUGGAUCCAGAUUCUUUGGAAGUGACCUAACUCAAGCUUGGGGCCAGGUGGAGCCUGAACAGUGUGUGAGACUGCAUUUCAGACAAUGGCCCAAGGGCUGCUGUGACACAGCUUCAGUGAGAAGAGAGAAUAGAUACGUGGACUUAAUCGUUGUGGGGAAGACGCCAAACAGCUGCCUAGUGCAUGGGGUCUGUUUCUCUGUGUCUUUUGGCUAAGGUGGCUUUACCCCAUCCCUCUCACCCAUUGGUCAGUGCUGCCUGGGGAAUGGCAAUUCCAGGAAAUUCUGGCCCUCAGUGGGCAUUCAAGCAAAGGGCCCCCUAGCUGCCCUGACAAUCAACACAGGUGCCUGGUGUUAAAAAGGGAAGUGGGGGGCCAUGGAUGGAGCAUCUGGGAGCCUGCUUCUGUUCCCGUCCUUCCUGGCUGCUCUGUUAAAGGUACAAAUCAGGAGGUUGGUUGUGUCAUUCAAUGGUGGAGUGCUCACCUACCAUGUAUGAGGCCCUCAGUUCCAUCCUAGCACUGAGAGGAGGAGGAGGAGGAGGAGGAGGAGGAGGAGAUGAUGAUGGUGGCUGCCAGGGGCUGGGGAUGAUGGUGGGAGGAAUGGGGAGUGGCUGCUAAUGAAUGUGAGGUUUUCUUUAGGGGUGAUGAAAAUGUUCUGAACUAUAAAAAGGUUAUGGUUGUACACUAUUGUGUACUAAAUGCCACUGAAUUGCACCCUGCAAAAUGGACAUUUUUAUGUUAGAUAAGUUUUACCACACAAAAAAGAAGUGUCCAUAGAACUAUAAGCCUCUAGUAUGCUCUGAAGCUUCCCAUGGCCCUCCAUUGCCUCAAAGGACAAGAUGCACACUCCACCUGAUGCCCAGGAGCCCCUGGCGGCCACACUACUGGAAUUCCCCAUCCUUGUAGCCCGUCUCCUCUCCCACAUUAUUCCUCCCGCCCUGGCCUCUGGAAGCAGCUGCUCCUCUGCCAACCAAGAUCAUUCUUGCCUCAGGGCCUUUACACAUGCCAUUUCUGCUACUUGGCAUGUCUGAUUCACCUUCAAGUUUCCAGUGAAAAUAUCAGUCUGGUCCCUAGUGUUGCCCUUCCUUUCCUUUCCUUUCCCCUCUUUUCAGAACCAGGGAGGGAACCCAGGGCCAGCCUCACACAUGCUAAGCAAGUGCUCUAACAUGGAGCCACACCCCCAACCUUUUUUUUUCCCCCCUUGAGACAGGAUCUUGCUAAAUUACCCAGGCUGGACUCAAAUUUUCAAUCCUCCUGACUCAGUUUCUUGAGUAACUGGAAUGAUGUGCACCACCACGCCAGCCUCAGUGUUGCCUUUACUUUGUCCUUCAGGUGUUUUCUUCCAGUACUGACCGCAGUUUAUAAUUUAACUGUGGUUUUAGUCUUCCAGGAAUAAGUUGUGUGGUGAAGGAAUGAAUGAGUGAGUGAAGAGACCAGAGGAUAAACUGCCAGUGAAAUGCCAGAGGGAAUUUCAGCAGACUUUGGACAAUGCCCUGGGCGGAAGCAAUGCUUACUCAUCCAUUUGACACAGGAAGAGACUGUCUUGGCUCAGAUCUGAUGCUUAUUCUCCUAAGAUCACAGCUGCCUCUGAAAACAAAGAGCAACAAUUGCUGCCAGCACGUGCUUUUUUACUUCCUUUUUAAACAUUCUUCAAUGGAUUUUCCUUUAUAGGCUUGCAUUCUGGUUCCGCUGAGGCACACGGCUGGGGAGGAGGGUGGACCAGGAAAAGUCCCCUCCUGGACACCACCCAUUUCCCCAUAAUGUGGACAGUUUGGAGCAGACCCAUCUUCUUUGUGCUCAAACACAGCCAAACAUUCCUUAUACAAAGGGUUUGCCCAUAUUUAAUACAUUUUUCCCCCCAAACCACCCCAUGUUUUGCAACUGGAUUUUCUUUUUUUGCAAAACUGGGGAUGGAACCCAAGUCUUCAUGCGUGCUUGCCAAACACUCUAUAGUUGAGCUGCACCCACUCCCAGCCCAUAACCUCACUGUAAAUUGAAGGCCAACUGUGUUCACUGUCUGCCUGCAUUGCUUUGCUAUGAAUCCCUUGUGUGUCUGCAUCUCAUCUGAUCCCCAGGAAGGAGGAGCAUCCUUACUCUAUCAUGAACACAUGAAGGGGUGAAGUGAACCUUGCACGGUGGCGCAUAUGUGUGUAUGAGGAGCUUCAAAACCGGAUGAGGUGCAGUGAGUGGUACCUGCCUGUCACCUCAGCAAUUUGAGAGGCUGAAGCAGGAGGAUAGCAAGUUCAGGGCCAUUCUCUAACAGUGAGACCCUCUUAAAACAUAAAGGGCAGGUGGGGAUGUAGCUUAAUGGCAGAGAGACUCUGGGUUCAAUCCCCGGUACCAGAACUAACAAACACCAGAUGAGGGGGCCAGGAAUGUGGCUGAGUGGCACAGCCCUUUUGUCCAGCAUGCAUGAGGCUCUGGGUUCCAUCCAAGCUCUGCAAAAACCAAAUGAGACUUCCUGAGAUGGUGCUAGGUCUCAGUUUCUGCUUUGGGAAAUGGGCUGGCUUUCACUGGAUGGGAAAGUUGUUUUUUUUAGUUGUAGGUGGACAAAAUACCUUUAUUUUAUUUUUAUGUGGUGCUGAGGAUCGAACACAGAGCCUCACGCAUGCUAGGUAAGUGCUCUACCACUGAGCCACAACCCCAGUCCUGGAUGGGGAAGGUUUUGAGUCGAGAAAAGCCACCCCUCAUCAGAAAAUUGGUUACAGUUGGUUGGCCUGGAGUCCACGUUUUGUGAUCUUUAAUUUUCAAAAUGAAUCCAAGGCUGAGGUUUUCAUCCUGGUUUGCAUAGAACUCAAUCAACUUUUUGUUGUACUAAAGUCAUGUCAGCAAAGAUUUCAAACCAUGCAGAAAUGUAUGAGAUAAAUUAAAAAUUCCAUCCUGCAACCCAGUCCGCUUUGUAAUACGUAAUUGUGGAAUUUUCCAGAAUUUGUUAUUCGGUGUUUGUGUAUUUGACUGACUUAACUUUCAUCCCUCUUUCCCUCUCCCUCCUUCCCUCCCUCCUUCACCUGUCUUACUUUGUUGCCCAGGCUGAGCUCAAACUCCUGAGCUCAAGUGAUCUUCCUGCCCUAGUCUCCCAAUGUACUUCUGUU
RNAcentral lists this long non-coding RNA (3123 nucleotides) under Marmota monax (woodchuck). The record is from RNAcentral. Lineage: Eukaryota; Metazoa; Chordata; Mammalia; Rodentia; Sciuridae.